Molecule: ribosomal RNA, 468 nt
Filed under: uncultured bacterium
Lineage: Bacteria
Description: partial 16S ribosomal RNA
Rfam family: Bacterial small subunit ribosomal RNA
Source: RNAcentral
GAUGAACGCUGGCGGCGUGCUUAACACAUGCAAGUCGAACGGAAAGGCCCAAGCUUGCUUGGGUACUCGAGUGGCGAACGGGUGAGUAACACGUGGGUGAUCUGCCCUGCACUUCGGGAUAAGCCUGGGAAACUGGGUCUAAUACCGGAUAGGACGAUGGUUUGGAUGCCAUUGUGGAAAGUUUUUUCGGUGUGGGAUGAGCUCGCGGCCUAUCAGCUUGUUGGUGGGGUAAUGGCCUACCAAGGCGUCGACGGGUAGCCGGCCUGAGAGGGUGUACGGCGACAUUGGGACGGAGAUACGGCCCAGACUCCUACGGGAGGCAGCAGUGGGGAAUAUUGCACAAUGGGCGCAAGCCUGAUGCAGCGACGCCGCGUGGGGGAUGACGGCCUUCGGGUUGUAAACUCCUUUCGCUAGGGACGAAGCGUUUUUGUGACGGUACCUGGAGAAGAAGCACCGGCUAACUACGUG